Molecule: ribosomal RNA, 253 nt
Filed under: uncultured bacterium
Lineage: Bacteria
Description: partial 16S ribosomal RNA
Rfam family: Bacterial small subunit ribosomal RNA
Source: RNAcentral
UACGUAGGUGGCGAGCGUUGUCCGGAUUUACUGGGCGUAAUGGGAGCGUAGGCGGACUUUUAAGUGAGAUGUGAAAUACUCGGGCUCAACUUGAGUGCUGCAUUUCAAACUGGAAGUCUAGAGUGCAGGAGAGGAGAAUGGAACUCCUAGUGUAGCGGUGAAAUGCGUAGAGAUUAGGAAGAACACCAGUGGCGAGGGCGAUUCUCUGGACUGUAACUGACGCUGAGGCUCGAAAGCGUGGGGAGCAAACAGG